Molecule: long non-coding RNA, 1847 nt
Organism: Helianthus annuus (common sunflower)
Lineage: Eukaryota; Viridiplantae; Streptophyta; Magnoliopsida; Asterales; Asteraceae
Exons: 8
Source: RefSeq, a predicted model, not a curated record
UAUACGCAUCAAAUUUGGCUCCAUCAAGUUUAAAUUAAAUCUCAGCAUCUUUCCUUUUUCAUCUUCUACCAACUCCAAAACGCCAUAUUUCGUUUUCCAUCAAAGCUACAAGAAGCACCAAACCUUCAAAAAUGAUUACUUUACUAUCCAUUGAAUGGAGAAAUGGAAAAUCAAAUAUGAGCAGCACCGCAAGGAUGUACAAACAUGGUUGAAAACCUUGAUCUUAUUUUAAAAUUCAAAUGAUUUCUCCUUCGUUUUCCAUCUCACACACACACACACAAAUUCCAUCUACAAAGCCCUCAUAUUUCGGCAUUCGGCGUAAAGAUUCAGAUCCGAUAAUAAGGAGGGUGCCGCCGGUUAGGGUUUCUUCGUGAAACGUUGUAGAGCGUCGUGACGGCUGUUGUUGCGGUUGUUUCUGGCAAUUCGAUAGGGUCACUCAUCCUCUUCUAUAGAGCUGCUGAAGAAACUGGUCCUUUACAUAUAAACUCUGAUACGAAGAAAUUAGUGUUAAUUCUCAUAUGAUUUCUGAAAUAGAUUAGGGCUUUUUAUAGUUAAUGGUUUAUCGAUUAUUCUUUGAAGAAUAUAUUUCACUUGCAGCAAAUAUUGGAUGUGGGUUACGCAUUUGUUUUUACUUAUGUCGUAAUGCCAUCAAUUGAAGCCCUAAUUUGUUGCCGGGGUCUGCUACAGUUGGUGGAUAUUUCGAUUAAGCUGGUUCUGGAAGUGGCGCAAAAGUUGGUGGAGAAUAAGGUUAGAACGCCUUGUGGAUAAUCAAUGGGUUCUCAACAAUUGUCCUCAUAUCACUUUUGACCCUUGCUGUGACGGCCAUGAAGUUAUGUUGUAUGAGUGUUCUGCGUUGAAGUUGCGGAGGUGGUAGCAUCCUGCGUUGUUCUUUGCAAGUCUGAUACCCUUGACUAAAAAGUCUACGAUUCAUCUUCUUCGUCGAUUCAGUAUCAAUCCAUUCGUCACACAGUGAGCUAACUCAGAGGAGCUGAGAAAGUGGAGUUUCUAAAGUCAGAGGGUGUGGAUCAUAUUGUUGAUAUCAGCAAAGAAGGUGUUAUUGAAAGUGUGAAGGCGUUUUUGAAAACAAGAAAGCUCUAAGGGGUUGAUGUUUUAUAUGAUCCAGUUGGAGGCAAGCUUGCAAAAGAAAGCUUAAAGGUGUUGAGUUGGGGAGCACAGAUUUUGGUUAUCGGGUUCACGAGUGGGGUGGUCUCAGUUAUUCCUGUUAAUAUUGCUCUUGUUAAGAAUUGGACGGUUAUUUUUGUAGUUUUGGGCAUCAUUAUUCCACUAUCUGUUUGUAUGGGGCGAUCGGUUUGAAGUGUCUUGCUUUAGAAAACUACCAAAAAUGGCACAUUUUCCCAUUUGUCGCAGGGGACAACGUUUGAACUUCAGAAGCAAAUGGAACCUUGACAAAGAUUGUUGUCUGCAAUUUUUUUAUGGUAGUUCAGUGAUACAGGCAAUUGACGAGUUUAUUUCGUGAGUGCUGCUUCUAAUGAAUUCUUCAAACAUGAGUAUUUCUCUUUUCUAUCGUUUAUUAAUUCUGCUGCUAGACUUCUUCAUCGAAGGUGUUGUCAACCAAUGAAACGAUGAUAUGGAGAUAUUGCAGGACAAAAUUAAUGCUUUGUUGGGACUUAUGCAGAGAUCUAAUGAACGAUAACUUAAAAGACACUUGAAAAGCUUAAAAGAUGAAAUGUCCUCACAAAUUUACGCUCCGAGCUUAUGGCUUUAAAGUCUUGAUUUUUUUAGGUUGAUACUAGUUUUGAACUUGCAUGGUAGUUUUUUAUAUUGUUUUACAUGUUAUUUUUUCUUGUAGAACAAAAAGUCAUGAUUUCUCUAUGUUGAUCACCGAA